Molecule: long non-coding RNA, 2345 nt
Organism: Ictalurus punctatus (channel catfish)
Lineage: Eukaryota; Metazoa; Chordata; Actinopteri; Siluriformes; Ictaluridae
Source: Ensembl
AUAUAGUACUAUGAAAUGUUUCUGACCCAAAAUAUUACGAAAUAUGAUUGUUUACAUUAAAAUGCAAAAGUUGAUGAAAAAGUAUGAUAAGGUGAAAAAAGUGACAUUUUAUGUCUAGAAAGUGACUUUUCAUCAAAAGUACAAUUACAAAACUAGUUCCCAUUCAUCCUGUGUCUCCUUACACACUUGUGCUCUUUAUCCGCUCAAAACGCUAUACAGCGAACGAGAAGGCGCUAGGAGCAAAGGAAAGUGGUUUUUCUAACAAACUCAUAUAAUCAAGUGCACAACCUACUCCAAUUUGAUUUUUUUCACAUAGUUAGACAUAAUAUAGUACUAUGAAAUGUUUCUGACCCAAAAUAUUACGAAAUAUGAUUGUUUACAUUAAAAUGCAAAAGUUGAUGAAAAAGAAUGAUAAGGUGAAAAAAGUGACAUUUUAUGUCUAGAAAGUGACUUUUCAUCAAAAGUACAAUAACAAAACUAGUUCCCAUUCAUUCUGUGUCCCCUUACACACUUGUGCUCUUUAUCCGCUCAAAACGCUAUACAGCGAACGAGAAGGCGCUAGGAGCAAAGGAAAGUGGUUUUUCUAACAAACUCAUAUAAUCAAGUGCACAACGUACUCCAAUUUGAUUUUUUUCACAUAGUUAGACAUAAUAUAGUACUAAGAAAUGUUUCUGACCCAAAAUAUUACGAAAUAUGAUUGUUUACAUUAAAAUGCAAAAGUUGAUGAAAAAGUAUGAUAAGGUGAAAAAAGUGACAUUUUAUGUCUAGAAAGUGACUUUUCAUCAAAAGUUCAAUUACAAAACUAGUUCCCAUUCAUUCUGUGUCUCCUUACACACUUGUGCUCUUUAUCCGCUCAAAACGCUAUACAGCGAACGAGAAGGCGCUAGGAGCAAAGGAAAGUGGUUUUUCUAACAAACUCAUAUAAUCAAGUGCACAACGUACUCCAAUUUGAUUUUUUUCACAUAGUUAGACAUAAUAUAGUACUAUGAAAUGUUUCUGACCCAAAAUAUUACGAAAUAUGAUUGUUUACAUUAAAAUGCAAAAGUUGAUGAAAAAGUGAAAAAAGUGACAUUUUAUGUCUAGAAAGUGACUUUUCAUCAAAAGUACAAUAACAAAACUAGUUCCCAUUCAUUCUGUGUCCCCUUACACACUUGUGCUCUUUAUCCGCUCAAAACGCUAUACAGCGAACGAGAAGGCGCUAGGAGCAAAGGAAAGUGGUUUUUCUAACAAACUCAUAUAAUCAAGUGCACGACGUACUCCAAUUUGAUUUUUUUCACAUAGUUAGACAUAAUAUAGUACUAUGAAAUGUUUCUGACCCAAAAUAUUACGAAAUAUGAUUGUUUACAUUAAAAUGCAAAAGUUGAUGAAAAAGUGAAAAAAGUGACAUUUUAUGUCUAGAAAGUGACUUUUCAUCAAAAGUACAAUUACAAAACUAGUUCCCAUUCAUCCUGUGUCUCCUUACACACUUGUGCUCUUUAUCCGCUCAAAACGCUAUACAGCGAACGAGAAGGCGCUAGGAGCAAAGGAAAGUGGUUUUUCUAACAAACUCAUAUAAUCAAGUGCACAACGUACUCCAAUUUGAUUUUUUUCACAUAGUUAGACAUAAUAUAGUACUAUGAAAUGUUUCUGACCCAAAAUAUUACGAAAUAUGAUUGUUUACAUUAAAAUGCAAAAGUUGAUGAAAAAGUAUGAUAAGGUGAAAAAAGUGACAUUUUAUGUCUAGAAAGUGACUUUUCAUCAAAAGUUCAAUUACAAAACUAGUUCCCAUUCAUUCUGUGUCCCUUACACACUUGUGCUCUUUAUCCGCUCAAAACGCUAUACAGCGAACGAGAAGGCGCUAGGAGCAAAGGAAAGUGGUUUUUCUAACAAACUCAUAUAAUCAAGUGCACGACCUACUCCAAUUUGAUUUUUUUCACAUAGUUAGACAUAAUAUAGUACUAUGAAAUGUUUCUGACCCAAAAUAUUACGAAAUAUGAUUGUUUACAUUAAAAUGCAAAAGUUGAUGAAAAAGUAUGAUAAGGUGAAAAAAGUGACAUUUUAUGUCUAGAAAGUGACUUUUCAUCAAAAGUACAAUUACAAAACUAGUUCCCAUUCAUUCUGUGUCUCCUUACACACUUGUGCUCUUUAUCCGCUCAAAACGCUAUACAGCGAACGAGAAGGCGCUAGGAGCAAAGGAAAGUGGUUUUUCUAACAAACUCAUAUAAUCAAGUGCACGACGUACUCCAAUUUGAUUUUUUUCACAUAGUUAGACAUAAUAUAGUACUAUGAAAUGUUUCUGACCCAAAAUAUUACGAAAUAUGAUUGUUUACAUUAAAAUGCAAAAGUUGAUGAAAAAGUAUGAUAAG